This 305-nucleotide ribosomal RNA is filed under the name uncultured eukaryote. Its description in RNAcentral is "partial large subunit ribosomal RNA". It matches the Rfam family "Eukaryotic large subunit ribosomal RNA", at positions 40 to 350 of the family's 3401-position model. The record is from RNAcentral.
AUAUUACUAAGCGGUGGAAAAGAAACUAACAAGGAUUCCUCCAGUAAUGGCGAAUGAAAAAGGAACAGCUCAAUUUUAAAAUCUUUACUUGUAAAGAAUUGUCAUUGCCAAAUUCAUCCUCCCCCCUCGUGGCCCCGGUCAAGUUUGUUGAAAUACAAUACCACGGAAGGUGAUAGUCCUGUCCACCGGCACCGCGAGACGUGUUGAUGAAUUGACGAGUCGAAUUGUUUGGGAUUGCAAUUCAAAACGGGUGGUAAAUUCCAUCUAAAGCUAAAUAUCGACAAGAGACCGAUAGCGCACAAGUA